This 1622-nucleotide long non-coding RNA is filed under the name Podarcis lilfordi (Lilford's wall lizard). Lineage: Eukaryota; Metazoa; Chordata; Lepidosauria; Squamata; Lacertidae. The record is from RNAcentral.
GGGGGAAGAGGUCCCUCGCCCUGGCCAAUGGCAGCGCACCACGCCAAACACGCAGCCAGUAGGAAACUUGGAGGGGAGGGGCGGAGUUCGCCCCCUGCCAAUCGGAGCCUUCCAGGUGAGGGUUCCCGGCGCCGGAGCGUGGCUGGGUGCGAUUGGCUGUUGCUAUGCUGAUGAGCCAAUGGGUGUCAAGGGCGGGAGCAGCAGGCCUUAGUUACUGUCUGGUUUUUCAAAUUACGUUUUUUAAAAGUUUAUUUGCCGGCUUUCUGUCUCUGGCUGUAUCUCUGACAACGAAGCAUGAGAUUUGACGUAUCUUUUUUUCUUUUAAAAAAUGUACAGAUGCACGUUUUAGGGAUCCGACCAUGUACUUCCGGGGCAGGUUGGACAAAACUACACGUUACUAUGACAACUUUCACUUCCGCUUUCCUACGCCUCACGUCAAACAGAUGUGAUUAAAGUAGAUAAUCGGGAAUGAUUAACAGGACGGCUGUUCUUCAGCAUCAGUUUUCCUCUCAGAACUGUAUUCUAGAGCUAGUUGUAAAAAAGUAAAAAGUUGUUGUGAAAAAAGGUCUAAAAUAAAGUCUGCAAGGAUGGUCCCAUCAUGCAAUGGUCCAUAGGGUCGCUGUGUAGGUGCAGGCCCACGAUUGGUGUUAUUCAUGCUUACGUCAUUGCUGCUUUGCAUGCUGGGACCGCCCUCUUACAUUGCCCUGUGGGAGUUGUAGUCCUUUAAAGAAAAUACAUUGACUAGACUUGACUUUUUGAGGUUCUUAAAGGCAUGGGACACCUCAAUAGGCGGACUGCUGACUUUUAAUUUGAAACAGCUUUAACUUGAUUCACGCAUUAGGACAAACCACUGUAAAGAUUUCCUUAAGUUUCAUAAAUGUUAUCACCAGUACUGGUAGGGAACCUCACCAAAAGGAGAAUGCAGAGGGUCUCUGAUUCACUCCCUGGCAUCUACAGGGAGCGCUGGGAAUAGCCUUCUGCCUGAAGCCCUGGAGAGAGUCACUGCUAGUUAGUGUACACAAUGCUGAACUUAAUGUAUUCCAUGUAAAAAUACUCCUACAGAUAGAAAACUUCCACAAGGAGGAGAAGGCUAGGUUAGAAGCUUUCUCCCAACCAUCUAGUUUUCCAUGUGGAGGGAUUUCGUUUUUAUUUGUGUGGUAUGAGGGAGAACAAUUCCUAUCCUGUGAGACCCUACCUGCACUGUGAAAUAGUAGAGCCCCAUUCAAAGAUUGACUGUAUCAGUAUUUUCUUGGUGCACAAGAGUGCAAAACUGUUGUGCGCUCCACACUUCUAAGCAAUGAGAAGUUGCAGAGGCUACACUGUUGGACUUGGUGUCCAUGGGAGGAGAGAUCUGAAGUUUGCAGCGGCUUUGUAGUAUUUGUUUUAUUUAUUAACAUUUAUGUUUUGUUGCAAUUGCCUGAAUUUAGUAGCACUGAGCAGAAGCGUACUGUAUCUGCUUGUAACAGCAGAAGAUCUGGCAAUUAGCCUUUUUCCCCUAGAGCUACUUGUUGGAGCAUGCUCAGUAUGUAGUAUUUCUGGUUGGGCUGACUUCUGAUCUGGCCAAGAACGGCAUGGACAGGUUUGCUGACUCUGUUAAUUUACAAACUGGUUUUUACUAUUUG